RNAcentral lists this long non-coding RNA (244 nucleotides) under Taeniopygia guttata (zebra finch). Its description in RNAcentral is "lncRNA (ENSTGUG00000021404.1)". The record is from RNAcentral. Lineage: Eukaryota; Metazoa; Chordata; Aves; Passeriformes; Estrildidae.
CACAGAUCUGUCUGGCUCAAGUGUAGCAGUCGCAGUCUUUUACUAUGUUUGCCUACUUAGCACCACUGAGUGAUGCUUGUUAGGGGCUCCUCCUUUGGGCUGAGGCUGAGUGAGUCCAAAGGUAUCCUGCAAAGAGCAGAGAGAAGAAGGUGAAAUGCAUUGGAAUAUCUUGGGAAUGAUCUCUGGAUGGAGUAUUUUAUAAGGCAAGAGAGCAAAAGGAAAAGAAAUUGACUUAAUGAAAGUA